RNAcentral lists this transfer RNA (65 nucleotides) under Dipodomys ordii (Ord's kangaroo rat). It matches the Rfam family "tRNA". Rfam says of the family: Transfer RNA (tRNA) molecules are approximately 80 nucleotides in length. Their secondary structure includes four short double-helical elements and three loops (D, anti-codon, and T loops). The record is from Rfam by way of RNAcentral. Lineage: Eukaryota; Metazoa; Chordata; Mammalia; Rodentia; Heteromyidae.
GGUGGCUCAGUGGUAGAGUGUUUGCCUAGCAUGCAUGAGGUCCUGGGUUCAAUUCCUCAGCACCA